CCCUUAGAUGUUCUGGGCCGCACGCGUGCUACACUGACCGGCGCAACAAGCUUUUUUCCUUGGCUCGACAGGCCUGGGUAAUCUUCGAACGCCGGUCGUGAUGGGGAUAGAUCCUUGCAAUUUUUGAUCUUCAACGAGGAAUUCCUAGUAAAUGCGAGUCAUCAUCUCGCGUUGAUUACGUCCCUGCCCUUUGUACACACCGCCCGUCGCACCUACCGAUUGAAUGGUCCGGUGAAAAUUUCGGACAGUGACGAUGCUGGCGGUCCGCCGCCGGCGCUGUCGCUGGAAGAUCUUUAAACCUUAUCAUUUAGAGGAAGGAGAAGUCGUAACA
RNAcentral lists this ribosomal RNA (331 nucleotides) under uncultured eukaryote. RNAcentral describes it as "partial 18S ribosomal RNA". It matches the Rfam family "Eukaryotic small subunit ribosomal RNA", at positions 1470 to 1796 of the family's 1831-position model. The record is from RNAcentral.